Molecule: ribosomal RNA, 1223 nt
Filed under: Actinomadura luteofluorescens
Lineage: Bacteria; Bacillati; Actinomycetota; Actinomycetes; Streptosporangiales; Thermomonosporaceae
Description: bacterial LSU rRNA
Rfam family: Bacterial large subunit ribosomal RNA
Source: RNAcentral
GUGUUCAAGUUUUUAAGGGCAUACGGUGGAUGCCUUGGCAUCAGGAGCCGAUGAAGGACGUGGGAGCCUGCGAUAUGCCUCGGGGAGUCGGCAACCAGACUUUGAUCCGGGGAUUUCCGAAUGGGGAAACCUGGCACCCGUCAUGGGGUGUCGCCGCCUGCUGAAUGUAUAGGCAGGUUGGUGGGAACGCGGGGAAGUGAAACAUCUCAGUACCCGCAGGAAGAGAAAACAAUAGUGAUUCCGUGAGUAGUGGUGAGCGAAAGCGGAGGAGCCUAAACCGUGCGCGUGUGAUAGCCGGCAGGCGUUGCGUGUGCGGGGUUGUGGGACCACCCUGGUUCAGCUGCCGCUGAAUCGAGGAGUUAUAAACCGCUGGGAUAGUCGAAUGGCUUGGGAUGGCCGACCGUAGACGGUGAGAGUCCGGUAGACGAAAUUCGAGUGGCUUCUGGGUGUGUUCCCCGAGUAGCACGGGGCCCGUGAAAUCCCCGUGUGAAUCUGCCACGACCACGUGGUAAGGCUGAAUACUUCCUGAUGACCGAUAGCGGACCAGUACCCGUGAGGGAAAGGUGAAAAGUGCCCCGGUGAGGGGUCGUGAAAUAGUACCUGAAACCCGUGUGCCUACAAGCCGUCAGAGCCUCUAGUUACCUGGCUUGGGGCUUUCUGUUGGUGAUGGCGUGCCUUUUGAAGAAUGAGCCUGCAAGUUAUGGUGUGUGGCCAAGGUUAACCGGUGCCGGGUAGCCGUAGCGAAAGCGAGUCUGAAUAGGGCGUUUUUAGUCGCAUGCUGUAGACCCGAAGCGGAGUGAUCUAGCCAUGGGCAGGGUGAAGCGCCGGUAAGACGGUGUGGAGGCCCGAACCCACCAGGGUUGAAAACCUGGGGGAUGACCUGUGGUUAGGGGUGAAAGGCCAAUCAAACUCCGUGAUAGCUGGUUCUCCCCGAAAUGCAUUUAGGUGCAGCGUCGCGUGUUUCUUGCCGGAGGUAGAGCUACUGGAUGGCUGAUGGGCCCUACCAGGUUACUGACGUCAGCCAAACUCCGAAUGCCGGUAAGUGAGAGCGCGGCAGUGAGACUGCGGGGGAUAAGCUUCGUAGUCGAGAGGGAAACAGCCCAGAUCAUCGGCUAAGGCCCCUAAGCGUGUGCUAAGUGGGAAAGGAUGUGGAGUUGCUGUGACAACCAGGAGGUUGGCUUAGAAGCAGCCACCCUUGAAAGAGUGCGUAAUAGCUCACUGGU